CGGCAACAGCUCAAAUUUGAAAUCUGGCCCUCGUGGUCCGAGUUGUAAUUUGUAGAGGAUGCUUUUGGUGCGGUGCCUUCCGAGUUCCCUGGAACGGGACGCCAUAGAGGGUGAGAGCCCCGUCUGGUUGGACACCAAUCCUCUGUAAAGCUCCUUCGACGAGUCGAGUAGUUUGGGAAUGCUGCUCAAAAUGGGAGGUAUAUGUCUUCUAAAGCUAAAUACCGGCCAGAGACCGAUAGCGCACAAGUAGAGUGAUCGAAAGAUGAAAAGCACUUUGAAAAGAGGGUUAAAUAGUACGUGAAAUUGUUGAAAGGGCAGCGUUUGUGACCAGACUUGGGCUUGGUUAAUCAUCCAGCGUUCUCGCUGGUGCACUUUGCCAUCCCAGGCCAGCAUCAGUUCGCCGCGGGGGAUAAAAGCACCGGGAAUGUGGCUCUUCGGAGUGUUAUAGCCCGGUGCACAAUACCCUGUGGUGGACUGAGGUUCGCGCAUCUGCAAGGAUGCUGGCGUAAUGGUCAUCAACGACCCGUCUUGAAACACGGACCAAGGAGUCGUCUUCGUAUGCGAGUGUUCGGGUGUCAAACCCCUACGCGUAAUGAAAGUGAACGGAGGUGGGAGCCUCGGCGCACCAUCGACCGAUCCUGAUGUUUUCGGAUGGAUUUGAGUAAGAGCAUACGGGGCCGGACCCGAAAGAAGGUGAACUAUGCCUGUAUAGGGUGAAGCCAGAGGAAACUCUGGUGGAGGCUCGCAGCGGUUCUGACGUGCAAAUCGAUCGUCAAAUAUGGGCAUGGGGGCGAA
Molecule: ribosomal RNA, 795 nt
Filed under: Thyronectria okinawensis
Lineage: Eukaryota; Fungi; Ascomycota; Sordariomycetes; Hypocreales; Nectriaceae
Description: eukaryotic LSU rRNA
Rfam family: Eukaryotic large subunit ribosomal RNA
Source: RNAcentral